Molecule: ribosomal RNA, 1471 nt
Filed under: metagenome
Description: bacterial SSU rRNA
Rfam family: Bacterial small subunit ribosomal RNA
Source: RNAcentral
AGAGUUUGAUCCUGGCUCAGGACGAACGCUGGCGGCGCGCCUAACACAUGCAAGUCGAACGGAGCUGAGAGGAGCUUGCUUUUCUUAGCUUAGUGGCGAACGGGUGAGUAACGCGUGAGUAACCUGCCCUGAAGUGGGGGACAACAGUUGGAAACGACUGCUAAUACCGCAUAAGCCCACGAUCCGGCAUCGGAUUGAGGGAAAAGGAUUUAUUCGCUUCAGGAUGGACUCGCGUCCAAUUAGCUAGUUGGUGAGGUAACGGCCCACCAAGGCGACGAUUGGUAGCCGGACUGAGAGGUUGAACGGCCACAUUGGGACUGAGACACGGCCCAGACUCCUACGGGAGGCAGCAGUGGGGGAUAUUGCACAAUGGGGGAAACCCUGAUGCAGCGACGCCGCGUGGAGGAAGAAGGUUUUCGGAUUGUAAACUCCUGUCGUUAGGGACGAUAAUGACGGUACCUAACAAGAAAGCACCGGCUAACUACGUGCCAGCAGCCGCGGUAAAACGUAGGGUGCAAGCGUUGUCCGGAAUUACUGGGUGUAAAGGGAGCGCAGGCGGACCGGCAAGUUGGAAGUGAAAACUAUGGGCUCAACCCAUAAAUUGCUUUCAAAACUGCUGGCCUUGAGUAGUGCAGAGGUAGGUGGAAUUCCCGGUGUAGCGGUGGAAUGCGUAGAUAUCGGGAGGAACACCAGUGGCGAAGGCGACCUACUGGGCACCAACUGACGCUGAGGCUCGAAAGCAUGGGUAGCAAACAGGAUUAGAUACCCUGGUAGUCCAUGCCGUAAACGAUGAUUACUAGGUGUUGGAGGAUUGACCCCUUCAGUGCCGCAGUUAACACAAUAAGUAAUCCACCUGGGGAGUACGACCGCAAGGUUGAAACUCAAAGGAAUUGACGGGGGCCCGCACAAGCAGUGGAGUAUGUGGUUUAAUUCGAAGCAACGCGAAGAACCUUACCAGGUCUUGACAUCCGAUGCAUAGUGCAGAGAUGCAUGAAGUCCUUCGGGACAUCGAGACAGGUGGUGCAUGGUUGUCGUCAGCUCGUGUUGUGAGAUGUUGGGUUAAGACCCGCAACGAGCGCAACCCUUAUUGCCAGUUACUACGAAAGAGGACUCUGGCGAGACUGCCGUUGACAAAACGGAGGAAGGUGGGGAUGACGUCAAAUCAUCUUGCCCCUUACGGCCUGGGCUACACACGUGCUACAAUGGCGUAAACAAAGGGAAGCGAGAGGGUGACCUGGAGCGAAUCCCAAAAAUAACGUCCCAGUUCGGACUGUAGUCUGCAACCCGACUACACGAAGCUGGAAUCGCUAGUAAUCGCGAAUCAGCAUGUCGCGGUGAAUACGUUCCCGGGUCUUGUACACACCGCCCGUCACACCAUGGGAGUUGGAAAUGCCCGAAGUCAGUGACCUAACCGCAAGGGAGGAGCUGCCGAAGGUGGAGCCGAUGACUGGGGUGAAGUCGUAACAAGGUA